Long non-coding RNA from Calidris pugnax (ruff), 728 nucleotides. RefSeq lists it as uncharacterized. The transcript has 9 exons. NCBI's taxonomy places the organism in Eukaryota, Metazoa, Chordata, Aves, Charadriiformes, Scolopacidae. The record is from RefSeq and is a predicted model, not a curated record.
CAGUCCUGCAGGAGCAGUUGAGUCAUGAGAAGCUGUCCCUGCUGAUCAAAUAUUGAUGUUGUCUUUUUCUUUCCAGUGGAACAUGCUGCAUCACUGGGGAAUCGAGAAGCAGAAUUGGACCAGCGAGAUGCAGCACUGAGGAAACGAGAGGCAAAAUUGGCGGAACGAGCCGAAGCACUGGAGCAACGAGCAGAAGCACUGGACAAACGAGCUGAAGCACUGGAUAAACUGCUUGGAGAACUGGACUUGUUCACUCUGGAUUCAAGCACGUUUGAUUCUGAAUUGUCUUCCCAAAGUGUUAGAGACAUGUGAGAUGGAAGUGCACAGAAGAACCUGCCUUACCCUUGCAAGAGAUUUAGUUAUUGGAACUGAGUGCUGGGCCAGGAAUGUUUCCGGGAGGGGAGGCAUUGCUGGGAGGUGGAGGUGGGAGGUGAUUCAUGGUGAGCUGUUGGGGUGGCCAGAGUGUCCCUGGAGCGGAAGGGGUCUCUGAACCUGAACCCUGAAGGAGGCAUCUGUGCUGUCAGGCACAAGAAGGGCCAGUCCAUGGCUCUCACCUCUACUCCCAUCCCCCUGUCCCAGUCCCUGCUCCCCAGGAAGAUCUGGGUCUUACUGGGCUGGACACAGAGGCUGGUGACUUUCCUCAGCGCUGACACUGGGAUCGAGAACUUCACUUUCCCACCAGCCUUGUUCCACAGGGAGAGACCAUGCACCCCUGGUUUUGAGUGGAG